RNAcentral lists this unclassified non-coding RNA (204 nucleotides) under Hevea brasiliensis (rubber tree). Lineage: Eukaryota; Viridiplantae; Streptophyta; Magnoliopsida; Malpighiales; Euphorbiaceae. The record is from RNAcentral.
GUACUUUGCACUGGGUUUUUGGACUAUGCUUAGAAGAAUUUGGUCUUCAAGCCUACAGCCUAUCUCUUUUCAAUUUUCAUGGAUUGCAGACUUUUGCCAAAUUACCCCAAAAUUGAAAAAUUGAACCAAACCUAACCAAUUGGUUUGGUUUGGUUUAUAUACUUUGAAACUUUAGUUGUUCAGUUUUUUCAGUUUAGUUCAAAA